CAAUUUCUGUAGCACAUAAAGUGAAAGACGACAUUCAUUUUUUCCACAUCAGACAUGUCCUCCUAAUGCAGCUUCCUCCACUGGCCCUCCUGACAAAGAAAGCAAAGAAGAAGGCCUCAUUCAUCUCUGUGGUUACCACAUGGAGAAUGUUCAGCCUGUUCCAUCUACUGAAAGCAGAUCUGAUGAGCAGACAGCCACCUCCUUGGCAGUUUAUUAUGCAUUGGUCUUGAAACUAUGAAUCUGAUGGCAGCAUCCCAGCUUCUGAAUUGAAUGUAUAAUUUAAUUUAUACUCUCAUGCUUUCCAUUUCAAGAAUUGUA
Molecule: long non-coding RNA, 318 nt
Filed under: Marmota monax (woodchuck)
Lineage: Eukaryota; Metazoa; Chordata; Mammalia; Rodentia; Sciuridae
Source: RNAcentral